This 433-nucleotide ribosomal RNA is filed under the name uncultured bacterium. RNAcentral's name for it is "partial 16S ribosomal RNA". It matches the Rfam family "Bacterial small subunit ribosomal RNA", at positions 29 to 507 of the family's 1533-position model. The record is from RNAcentral.
AACGAACGCUGGCGGCAUGCCUAACACAUGCAAGUCGAACGAGACCUUCGGGUCUAGUGGCGCACGGGUGCGUAACGCGUGGGAACCUGCCCUUAGGUUCGGAAUAACUCCCCGAAAGGGGUGCUAAUACCGGAUAAUGUCUUCGGACCAAAGAUUUAUCGCCUUUGGAUGGGCCCGCGUUGGAUUAGCUAGUUGGUAGGGUAAAAGCCUACCAAGGCGACGAUCCAUAGCUGGUCUGAGAGGAUGAUCAGCCACACUGGGACUGAGACACGGCCCAGACUCCUACGGGAGGCAGCAGUGGGGAAUAUUGGGCAAUGGGCGAAAGCCUGAUCCAGCAAUGCCGCGUGAGUGAUGAAGGCCUUAGGGUUGUAAAGCUCUUUUACCCGGGAUGAUACUGACAGUACCGGGAGAAUAAGCUCCGGCUAACUCCGUG